GAUUACGGCCAUACCACACUGACAACGCCCGAUCUCGUCUGAUUCUCGGAAGCUAAGCAGAGUUGGGCUGGGUCAGUACUUGGAUGGGUGACCGCCUGGGAAUACCCGGUGCUGUAAGCA
This 120-nucleotide ribosomal RNA is filed under the name Cottoperca gobio. Lineage: Eukaryota; Metazoa; Chordata; Actinopteri; Perciformes; Bovichtidae. The record is from RNAcentral.